GGAAUCGCUAGUAAUCGCGGAUCAGAAUGCCGCGGUGAAUACGUUCCCGGGUCUUGUACACACCGCCCGUCACACCAUGGGAGUCGGAAAUGCCCGAAGUCUGUGACCCAACCUUAGGGAGGGAGCAGCCGAAGGCAGGUCGGAUGACUGGGGUGAAGUCGUAACAAGGUAAC
Molecule: ribosomal RNA, 173 nt
Filed under: uncultured bacterium
Lineage: Bacteria
Description: partial 16S ribosomal RNA
Rfam family: Bacterial small subunit ribosomal RNA
Source: RNAcentral